GGCGGCGUGCUUAACACAUGCAAGUCGAACGAUGAAGCUGGAGCUUGCUCCGGUGGAUUAGUGGCGAACGGGUGAGUAACACGUGAGAAAUCUGCCCCUGACUCUGGGAUAACUGCGGGAAACUGUAGCUAAUACCGGAUACUUUCCCUGGUGGGCAUCCACUGGGGAAGAAAGAAUUUCGGUCAGGGAGGAUCUCGCGGCCUAUCAGCUAGUUGGUGAGGUAACGGCUCACCAAGGCGACGACGGGUAACCGGCCUGAGAGGGUGACCGGUCACACUGGGACUGAGACACGGCCCAGACUCCUACGGGAGGCAGCAGUGGGGAAUAUUGCACAAUGGGCGCAAGCCUGAUGCAGCAACGCCGCGUGAGGGAUGAAGGCCUUCGGGUUGUAAACCUCUUUUAGCAGGGAAGAAGCGAAAGUGACGGUACCUGCAGAAAAAGCACCGGCUAACUACGUGCCAGCAGCCGCGGUAAUACGUAGGGUGCAAGCGUUGUCCGGAAUUAUUGGGCGUAAAGAGCUCGUAGGCGGUUUGUCACGUCUGCUGUGAAAAUCCAAGGCUCAACCUUGGACUUGCAGUGGGUACGGGCAGGCUAGAGUGCGGUAGGGGAGAUGGGGAUUCCUGGUGUAGCGGUGGAAUGCGCAGAUAUCAGGAGGAACACCAAUGGCGAAGGCACAUCUCUGGGCCGUAACUGACGCUGAGGAGCGAAAGCGUGGGGAGCGAACAGGAUUAGAUACCCUGGUAGUCCACGCCGUAAACGGU
RNAcentral lists this ribosomal RNA (761 nucleotides) under uncultured Actinomycetes bacterium. RNAcentral describes it as "bacterial SSU rRNA". It matches the Rfam family "Bacterial small subunit ribosomal RNA", at positions 38 to 810 of the family's 1533-position model. Lineage: Bacteria; Bacillati; Actinomycetota; Actinomycetes. The record is from RNAcentral.